AAUAACAAUUGUUUAAUCGUGGCAAAGUUAGAACGUUAUCUGGUAGUUUUACUCAUGCAAGUCGAAUGAUUUUAAUAAAAAUCAUGGCGUACAGGCGAGGAAAAAUAAGUACAUACCCUUAGUUUACGUUAAUAGCCAGUCAACUUUUAAGAGAGUAGACUGGCCAGUCUACUUUUAACACAGUAGACUAUUAACGGUCAACUCUUAAAAAGAAGACCAAAAAAAAAAGAAAAUUUUUCGUCUAAGGAUUGGCUUUAUAUCUAGCAGGUAGUUGGAGUGGUAAAGGCGCUCCAAGCCGAUGACGGAUAGGAAAUAGCGAAAGCUUCAAUUCCCGCAAUUGGUUUGAGAAUAACCGAUGGUGUCUUUAAGACAUGCUGCAGAGGAGGAUCUUGGGCAAUGCUCGAAAGAGUGACCCAGCUAACCAGAACUCUAUAAGAGUGUCGUAAGGGAGGAUAAUGACGUUACCUUACUAAUAGUCCAAUCUAAGUCUCGUGCCAGCAGACGCGGUUAUACGAACUGGGCAAACGUUUAAUAAAUUAAUAGGUAUUAAGGAUCCGUAGGCGGUUUCUAAUAAAGAAACUAGAAUCUAAUAGAGGAUAGUGGAAUGCUAGGAGGAGGGAUGAUAUCCAUUGAUAUCUAGCGGAACACUAAAGGCGAAGGCAACUAUCCAGCUAAAGAUUGACGCUGAGGGAUGAAAGUCUGGGGAGCAAAACAGAUUAGAUACCUGUGUAGUCCAGACCGUAAACUAUUUACAUUUCUUAUUUGGUAAUUUUUUCUUUAUUUAUAAUGCCAGAUAAUAAGCAAACCGCUGUAUGUGUAACACCUUGUAAGUACAGUCCCAGGACCGAAAGCAAAAAGAUUAGACCGUCCUAAAGACCCGGAGUGGAGCAUGUUGUUUAAUACGAUAAUCCGCGUAGAACCUUACCUCUCCUUGAAUGACUUAUUAAAAUACUACUUAUUGAUAAAAUAAGAUAGUAUUACAGUAAGAUCACAGGCGUUGCAUGGCUAUCGUCAGUUCGUGUCGUGAGACGUCAGGUUGAGUCCGCCAACGAACGCAAUCCCUAUCCUAAGUUGUACAUUUUAGGAUUUGCAUUCAAUAAGAAGCAUUUUUUUGGGACUAUGAUAAGCCUUCAUGACCCUUAUGGAGUAUGGGCUACAGACGUGCUACUUGAACCUAACAAACUGAUGCAAUACCGUGAGGUGGAGCUAACCAGUAAAAUAUGGUGAUAUAAGGAUCGUAGUCUGAAAUUCGACUGCGUGAAUCAGGAAUUCCGAGUAAUCGUUGAUAAGUACGCAACGGUGAACUUUUACAUUUAGGAGAUACUAACCGUCUAUCAAGUGUUGGUCGUUCAUCAAGCUAUGAACUAGUGUCCAAUUAUCUUCUUUUCAGAUAAAAGAGUAAGUUAUCUAGAAAACAAUAGUAAUAUUCUUUAUUAGAUAACCCGCUCUAGGCAUCUUGAAUAGUUUAUGAUUAAGACACAUGGAGUAGCUUACAACUCCUAACGCUAAGUUAUAGCAAGGUAGCCGUAAGGGAACUUGUGGCUGAUUGAUACUAUAC
This is a non-coding RNA of Triticum urartu, 1558 nucleotides long. NCBI's taxonomy places the organism in Eukaryota, Viridiplantae, Streptophyta, Magnoliopsida, Poales, Poaceae. The record is from Rfam.